CUAAAACUACCUUUUUUGUUGGUUUUGUGCAAAAUCCGAGACCACCACGAGGUUCAGAAGAGAAUUCUGACCAACCCCAGAAAAAAUCACCGGAAACCAACUAGCCACGCGCCCCCACGCGCCGGCAAUACCCUCGGCGCGUGAGCCCACGCGCCGGCGCGUGAGGGCCCUUCCGGCCACUUUUUCAGUUUGCUCCAGAAGGACAGUUUGGUCGGCCUUCAUUUCCGACCCUACCCAUCCUUUUUCCG
This 248-nucleotide long non-coding RNA is filed under the name Nicotiana benthamiana. RNAcentral describes it as "long non-coding RNA (NBEN_LNC031365)". Lineage: Eukaryota; Viridiplantae; Streptophyta; Magnoliopsida; Solanales; Solanaceae. The record is from RNAcentral.